This 253-nucleotide ribosomal RNA is filed under the name uncultured bacterium. RNAcentral's name for it is "partial 16S ribosomal RNA". It matches the Rfam family "Bacterial small subunit ribosomal RNA", at positions 524 to 776 of the family's 1533-position model. The record is from RNAcentral.
UACGUAGGGUGCGGGCGUUGUCCGGAAUUACUGGGCGUAAAGAGCUCGUAGGUGGUUUGUCGCGUUGUUCGUGAAAACUCACAGCUUAACUGUGGGCGUGCGGGCGAUACGGGCAGACUGGAGUACUGCAGGGGAGACUGGAAUUCCUGGUGUAGCGGUGGAAUGCGCAGAUAUCAGGAGGAACACCGGUGGCGAAGGCGGGUCUCUGGGCAGUAACUGACGCUGAGGAGCGAAAGCGUGGGGAGCGAACAGG